UUCUGGUUGAUCCCGGCAGAAGCUACUGCUAUUGGGAUUCGAUUAAGCCAUGCGAGUUGAAUGAAUUUAGAUUCAUGGCGUACGGCUCAGUAACACGUGGAUAACUUACCCUUAGGACUGGGAUAACUCUGGGAAACUGGGGAUAAUACCGGAUAUUAGGCUAUGGCUGGAAUGCUUUGCCUUUGAAAUGUUUCUUGUAUUCGCCUAAGGAUAGAUCUGCAGCUGAUUAGGUCGUUGGUGGGGUAAUGGCCCACCAAGCCUAUGAUCGGUACGGGUUGUGAGAGCAAGAGCCCGGAGAUGGAACCUGAGACAAGGUUCCAGACCCUACGGGGUGCAGCAAGCGCGAAACCUCCGCAAUGUACGAAAGUGCGACGGGGGGAUCCCAAGUGUUAUUCUUAAUAGGAUAACUUUUCAUUAGUGUAAAAAGCUUUUAGAAUAAGAGCUGGGCAAGACCGGUGCCAGCCGCCGCGAUAACACCGGCAGCUCAAGUGGUAGCUGUGUUUAUUGAGCCUAAAGCGUUCGUAGCCCGUCUGAUAAGUCUUUGGUGAAAGCUUAUGGCUUAACUGCAAGAAUUGCUGAAGAUACUGUCAGACUUGAAGUCGGGAGACGUUAAAGGUACUACCCGGGUAGGCGUUGAAUCCCAUUAUCCUGGGAUGAACCCCCUGUGGCCAAGGCCGCCAACUGGAACGAUCGUGACGGUUGAUUACGAAAGCCAGGGGCGCCAACCGGAUUACAUACCCGGUUUUCCUGGGCCGAAACCAUGGGGAACUUGGGGUUGGAAUGGUUCCAAUUUUUCCUUGCCGAAGGAACCUGUUAA
RNAcentral lists this ribosomal RNA (817 nucleotides) under uncultured rumen archaeon. RNAcentral's name for it is "bacterial SSU rRNA". It matches the Rfam family "Archaeal small subunit ribosomal RNA", at positions 1 to 818 of the family's 1478-position model. The record is from RNAcentral.